UUUUUAAAAAACAAAAAACUUUUGAGGCUAUAAAAACUAUAAAGUUUAUAGAGUUUAAAAGCAUUUAAAAAACUAGAAAUUUAGAUGCCAGCCAAAUCUUUUGUUUUUAAUCAUUUCAGAUUUUGUUCGGUGGAAAAUUCUAUAACUCAAAAUCUAUCCGAGAAUUCCAAAAUCUAUUUUGCCGAUUCUAACAAUUAUUUUUUUUGCCACAACACUGUAAUUGCUAUGAAAAAAAUUCUUUUCCUUAAUUUUGAGAUUUCAAUUUCAGUCACGUUAUGAAAUAAAUUAAUUGUUUAAUUUUAUUGCCUCGGUAUUUAUCUGCGAAUGAUUUCCGAUGGGUAUUCCUUUUUUCCUCGAUGACUUCACUGAAAAGGACGAAUGAAAGAAAAAAAAAAUUCAAAUAAAAUCCAAGAACAUUGAAUCCACCUCAAAGGAUUUUGCAUACCAAACCAUUAAAACCUAUAGCUUUUUUGCUUGGUGGAUUCUAAUAAUAAAAAAAAAUAUGAUAUCCUCGAAAGUAAUUUAUAAGUAAGCCAUAGCGCUAGAUAAAUCCAAACCCAGUCACCCUCAACAUUACCAAGGGAUUCAUUCCGCUAUAAAAAAUCUUUGUUUAGCUGUAAAAACAAAAUGAAGAAAAAAAUAUAAAAAAAAACAACAACAACAACUAUCAACAAACCGGAAACAAAAUAGAAUCAAAUAACUAGUGGAAAUCGAUUUAUGCAUUUGGACUCUCGACUCCUUUUAUAUUCUUUUGUUGGAGGCGGAGCGGCGGCGGGGGUUGUCGGUGGCCGGUGGUGAUGGCCUAUAUUUUUGGAGGCAUGUUAUGUAAAUGCAAUUCGUCGACAGUUGUGGCUUGGCUGUCGUUAUCACGAACAAAAAUGUUUAUGAAAGUUCAUAAUUCAACGAAUAACGAAUUUGAAAAUCGAGCAAAAAAAAAACCGCCUUGUGUGCUUUUCUAUACAUGGGAGUAGCCAUGAAGAAGACUGUGGAACUGCAGUUGCAGUAGCAGUAUAGAAAAAAGUAUGAUAGCCGGGUGCAAUUUAUGUUGUAGACAUAUGGUCUUUCAUUUGCUCUGGCUUAAGGCAUGGCACACAAAACCCAAGCGCACAGAAAUGUAUGUACAAGAACCAAAGUAGAGACGGAAGCCUAGUUAUCCUCUGGAAAAAUAAACAUUCCAAAAGGAGAAAAGUCACAUCUUUAUAUAAGGGCUUUGAAUACACUUUCCUGCUUUCAAUUUUUAUUUGCUUGGUUUUAUUAUCAAAAGAAAUAGUAUGCCAUUAUUAGUGACGAGACGACCUUUGCCAUAGCAAAGCCGCUGUAUGGUCGUUUUUGAAAACUUUUAUCAGUCAAUUGAAGGCACAGAUAAAUUAUGAACAUUUUCUGAUUGAUGUGACAAAAGUCGGUUUAACCUACUAAAUAUACCUUCACCUAGGCAUUAAUCCAGAAGAUUUUCGAAUCAAUGUCACUUGGUCGUUUUUCCCCACUGGUCAUGGAAAAGGAGCAGUAGAUCAAUUAAUUCAAUCUCACCAAGGUGUUAUUAAUUGCCUGUUAUGAUUUUUCAAAGAAUAUAAAGAAUUUAAACGAAUUCAAUCAUGUGUAUGAUCAAAAAUUCACAUAUAAAAUCAAAAUCUUUCAAUUUGAAAUUUCAAAAAUGAUGUAAAAAUAUAAAUGCUACAAAAAGUCUUCAAUGCCAAGCACACUGGAUUGAACUUGAAGCACAGUUAUUUUCCAAACUUGAAAUAAAGUUGCUUAAAAAUACAUCGAGUCAGUUAUACUAACUUAGAUUCUGAGUCACACCCGUUACAUCUAAAGUAAAGUGAUUGUGAUGUUACAAGAUAAAAUAACGAAAACACAAUAUCCCUUGAGUUUAAAAGUGAUCCGGGUUCACCUCAGAAAUCUGAGGUAAGCCUCACAAUUUUGUACUGUUUCAAUUCUAAGGCCAACUAAAAGCAAUACUUUUUGCAUUUACUUACACCAUAAGCUUUUAAGGCCUGCCUUUCUUCUUAGUUCGCGGUCGGAUCGGAUCAAUGUAUGAUAUUGCCUUUUUGAUGGCAUCCUCCAGAAUCUCUCUUUUGAACAAUACACUCCUGCUGUCAUGCGAAAAUCACGAAUAUUUUUAUAAAAUAAAAAGUAUGUUAAAGACAUUUCAGUCAUUCAUAUAAAAUUUUUGUGUCAUUUCACUUCUGUACCUAUUUUAAUGAAAAUACAGAUUCUAGUAAAAUGUCAUUUUGAUAAUGAUUGUAUGUUGCCGCUUUUUCUAAACUCAUUACAACAAAACUCACUCGUCACGUUAAAAUGUUCCAAUUGCUGCUAUUAAAUAAAUAUGACACAGACAAUUACUUUGAUAGAUAUUACUGUA
Episyrphus balteatus (marmalade hoverfly) is the source of this 2359-nucleotide long non-coding RNA. RefSeq lists it as uncharacterized. NCBI's taxonomy places the organism in Eukaryota, Metazoa, Arthropoda, Insecta, Diptera, Syrphidae. The transcript is spliced from 6 exons. The record is from RefSeq and is a predicted model, not a curated record.